Molecule: ribosomal RNA, 263 nt
Filed under: uncultured bacterium
Lineage: Bacteria
Description: partial 16S ribosomal RNA
Rfam family: Bacterial small subunit ribosomal RNA
Source: RNAcentral
UACGUAGGGGGCGAGCGUUGUCCGGAAUUACUGGGCGUAAAGGGUGCGUAGGCGGAUAUACAAGUCCGAUGUGAAAUGCUUCGGCUUAACCGGGGAGUUGCAUUGGAAACUGUAUAUCUAGAGUGCAGGAGAGGGAAGCGGAAUUCCUAGUGUAGCGGUGAAAUGCGUAGAUAUUAGGAGGAACACCAGUGGCGAAGGCGGCUUCCUGGAUUGCAACUGACGCUGAGGCACGAAAGCUGGGGCAGCGAACAGGAUUAGAUACC